CUGAGCUCCUCAAAAUCCAGAUUUGGGAGCAGCAGCUCUUUGCUGGUUGGGGGGAGGGUGGCAGAGGAGCUGCCUGCUCCACUUAAAGGUUGUUUGUUCUCCUUUCCAGGACUCACCAGACAGUGAUGAUGAAAAAAUGCCGGAUCUGGAGUAAGGCAAACUGUCGUCUUCAGGGUUUUGGGGGAAAGAAGUUCAUCACAACAUUUCAUAAUUGAGAUAAGAAUUCCUGAGUUGAUAGCCCUAAAGGGAGAUCCUGCAUCCUUUAACCCAUUUUCAGUCCAUUUUAAAUGGCUUCACUGAUGGUAGGUGUGUCCCAUGGCACGGGGCAGUCUUAAAGCCACGAGAGGCAAUAACAGUUAUGCAUGAACCGUUUUCCAGACUUCCAAAAACAAACAAAAACCCACCAAACCAACCCAAUUGAGGUGUAGGCAAUCCAUUGAGAACAUUUGCAAUAAAGUUUACAGAGCCUCCUUGCCUCGUAGCAGAUGUAAUUACAAUGGGAGAACCCUGAAUUAACACCGAGUGGUUUAAACGAGAAAUUAUUUUUUUUUCCCUCCCCUCUCUCUCUUCUCCACGGCCUGAAAUUAAUUUGUACCGGGAACAAAAAACUCUUAUUGGCUCCCCAAAAAAAAUCCAGCAGGCGAGGCGCAUCCCUCCGUGAUGUCUUCAGCUCUGUUCCCACUUUAAAAAAAAAAACCAACUUCAAAAUCUUCAAAAUUCUCCUCGUUUUUGGUGUUCGGUGCCGGUGGCCUGCCCCUGGUCCCGUGUGACCCCAAACCUUUCCACCUCCUCGCCCGGGCUGCGAGUGGCUGUACAUUGUUGCUUGUCAAUCUGUACAUUUUAGACCAAAAUCGUAUUUGCACUGUGGGUUUGGCAGCAAGUGACAGACCGUGGGGCGCGCGGGCGCCUGCGAACCGGGCUGAAAAACCUCAAUUUAUGUUCAGAGCAGCUGGGAUUUUUUUAAUGUCUGCAUUCUUUCUAAUAAACUGUUGAAGACUC
Long non-coding RNA from Pyrgilauda ruficollis (rufous-necked snowfinch), 999 nucleotides. RefSeq lists it as uncharacterized. NCBI's taxonomy places the organism in Eukaryota, Metazoa, Chordata, Aves, Passeriformes, Passeridae. The transcript has 2 exons. The record is from RefSeq and is a predicted model, not a curated record.